UGAAAUGUAUCUCAGUGGUAGGGAACUUACCUGGCAUGUAAGAGGCCCUGAGUUCAAUUCCAAGUAUGGUCAA
This 73-nucleotide transfer RNA is filed under the name Marmota monax (woodchuck). RNAcentral's name for it is "tRNA.Ala". The stretch from base 5 to 67 matches the Rfam family "tRNA", at positions 5 to 66 of the family's 71-position model. From Rfam's summary of the family: Transfer RNA (tRNA) molecules are approximately 80 nucleotides in length. Their secondary structure includes four short double-helical elements and three loops (D, anti-codon, and T loops). The record is from RNAcentral. Lineage: Eukaryota; Metazoa; Chordata; Mammalia; Rodentia; Sciuridae.